Molecule: long non-coding RNA, 548 nt
Filed under: Setaria viridis
Lineage: Eukaryota; Viridiplantae; Streptophyta; Magnoliopsida; Poales; Poaceae
Description: long non-coding RNA (SVIR_LNC001832)
Source: RNAcentral
CGGGACAGGCGACCAGAGGGGGGGAUGAAUAGGAGCCGAUUCAAAUUUCCUCAAUGAACCUCGGCAAAAGUCCCAAACCAAUCCAACCUCUCUUCUAGCAAUAUUAAGUCCCCUUAGCUAUGUAGGAGCUAAUGGACCUAGGAAUGAUGCUAGGAAUCUAAUUUCAGACCAGCGGAAGCAAGAAGAAACACAAACAAAUGUCGGAAGAAGAAGUUUGAAAACCAACACUAAAGUUCGGAAAAUUCCGGAAAAUCUUCCGGAAAAUUCCGAACUUUCGGAAAUUUUUAGAAAAACCUUCAGAGAAUUCUGGAAGUUCGGAAAUUUCCGGAAUAUUCCGGAACUCCGAAAAAAAACUUUCGUGAGGAAGGUGGAAAAAUCCGAAACUCGAUCAAACGACCUCCAAAAAUCACAAAAUUUGAACCAUACACUCACAAUAACAUACCAAAGGUAUUCUCAAAGGCUCAAGUCAAAAAACCCAAGAAUUGCAUGCACAAAAGCAAAAGAAUGCAUGCUCCCCCUCAAAUGCAAAAUUCCCCAUUAAAUGCAAG